GAUGAACGCUGGCGGCGUGCCUAAUACAUGCAAGUCGAGCGAACAGACGAGGAGCUUGCUCCUCUGACGUUAGCGGCGGACGGGUGAGUAACACGUGGAUAACCUACCUAUAAGACUGGGAUAACUUCGGGAAACCGGAGCUAAUACCGGAUAAUAUAUUGAACCGCAUGGUUCAAUAGUGAAAGACGGUUUUGCUUUCACUUAUAGAUGUAUCCGCGCCGCAUUAGCUAGUUGGUAAGGUAACGGCUUACCAAGGCAACGAUGCGUAGCCGACCUGAGAGGGUGAUCGGCCACACUGGAACUGAGACACGGUCCAGACUCCUACGGGAGGCAGCAGUAGGGAAUCUUCCGCAAUGGGCGAAAGCUUGACGGAGCAACGCCGCGUGAGUGAUGAAGGUCUUCGGAUCGUAAAACUCUGUUAUUAGGGAAGAACAAAUGUGUAAGUAACUAUGCACGUCUUGACGGUACCUAAUCAGAAAGCCACGGCUAACUACGUG
RNAcentral lists this ribosomal RNA (497 nucleotides) under uncultured bacterium. RNAcentral describes it as "partial 16S ribosomal RNA". It matches the Rfam family "Bacterial small subunit ribosomal RNA", at positions 28 to 507 of the family's 1533-position model. The record is from RNAcentral.